UUCUAACGUGGAUCCGUAAUCCGGGUUGCGGACAGUGUCUGGUGGGUAGUUUGACUGGGGCGGUCUCCUCCUAAAGAGUAACGGAGGAGCACGAAGGUUGGCUAAUCCUGGUCGGACAUCAGGAGGUUAGUGCAAUGGCAUAAGCCAGCUUGACUGCGAGCGUGACGGCGCGAGCAGGUGCGAAAGCAGGUCAUAGUGAUCCGGUGGUUCUGAAUGGAAGGGCCAUCGCUCAACGGAUAAAAGGUACUCCGGGGAUAACAGGCUGAUACCGCCCAAGAGUUCAUAUCGACGGCGGUGUUUGGCACCUCGAUGUCGGCUCAUCACAUCCUGGGGCUGAAGUAGGUCCCAAGGGUAUGGCUGUUCGCCAUUUAAAGUGGUACGCGAGCUGGGUUUAGAACGUCGUGAGACAGUUCGGUCCCUAUCUGCCGUGGGCGCUGGAGAACUGAGGGGGGCUGCUCCUAGUACGAGAGGACCGGAGUGGACGCAUCACUGGUGUUCGGGUUGUCAUGCCAAUGGCACUGCCCGGUAGCUAAAUGCGGAAGAGAUAAGUGCUGAAAGCAUCUAAGCACGAAACUUGCCCCGAGAUGAGUUCUCCCUGAGACUUAGAGUCUCCUGAAGGAACGUUGAAGACGACGACGUUGAUAGGCCGGGUGUGUAAGCGCAGCGAUGCGUUGAGCUAACCGGUACUAAUGAACCGUGAGGCUUAACCUUACAACGCCGAAG
Molecule: ribosomal RNA, 723 nt
Filed under: Salmonella enterica subsp. enterica serovar Infantis
Lineage: Bacteria; Pseudomonadati; Pseudomonadota; Gammaproteobacteria; Enterobacterales; Enterobacteriaceae
Description: partial 23S ribosomal RNA
Rfam family: Bacterial large subunit ribosomal RNA
Source: RNAcentral